RNAcentral lists this microRNA (22 nucleotides) under Tetranychus urticae (two-spotted spider mite). RNAcentral describes it as "tur-miR-317-5p". Its record names the gene tur-miR-317-5p. Lineage: Eukaryota; Metazoa; Arthropoda; Arachnida; Trombidiformes; Tetranychidae. The record is from miRBase by way of RNAcentral.
UGGGUACCACGCUGGGCUCACA